Molecule: small nuclear RNA, 187 nt
Filed under: Neotoma lepida (desert woodrat)
Lineage: Eukaryota; Metazoa; Chordata; Mammalia; Rodentia; Cricetidae
Description: U2 spliceosomal RNA
Rfam family: U2 spliceosomal RNA
About the family: U2 is a small nuclear RNA (snRNA) component of the spliceosome (involved in pre-mRNA splicing). Complementary binding between U2 snRNA (in an area lying towards the 5' end but 3' to hairpin I) and the branchpoint sequence (BPS) of the intron results the bulging out of an unpaired adenosine, on the BPS, which initiates a nucleophilic attack at the intronic 5' splice site, thus starting the first of two transesterification reactions that mediate splicing.
Source: Rfam by way of RNAcentral
AUCACUUCCAAGUCUUCUGACUGAGAUCAAAUGCAAGGUCUGUUCUCAGUUUAACAUUGGUUGGGUCCUCUAUCUGAAGACAACAUAUUAAAUGAUUUUUAGAGCUAAUCAAUAAGACAGAAACUGGUUCCAUCCACUAUACCCAUUGACCUGAUAUUGCAGAACCUCCAGGGAUGAUGCAUCCUCU